RNAcentral lists this ribosomal RNA (250 nucleotides) under uncultured bacterium. RNAcentral's name for it is "partial 16S ribosomal RNA". It matches the Rfam family "Bacterial small subunit ribosomal RNA", at positions 524 to 773 of the family's 1533-position model. The record is from RNAcentral.
UACGGAGGGUGCGAGCGUUAAUCGGAAUUACUGGGCGUAAAGGGUGCGUAGGUGGUUGAUUAAGUUAUCUGUGAAAUUCCUGGGCUUAACCUGGGCAUGUCAGAUAAUACUGGUUGACUCGAGUAUGGGAGAGGGCAGUGGAAUUUCCGGUGUAGCGGUGAAAUGCGUAGAGAUCGGAAGGAACACCAGUGGCGAAGGCGACUGCCUGGCCUGUUACUGACACUGAGGCACGAAAGCGUGGGGAGCAAAC